GAUGAACGCUAGCUACAGGCUUAACACAUGCAAGUCGAGGGGUCUCGAGGGAGCUUGCUCUUGAGAGACGACCGGCGCACGGGUGAGUAACGCGUAUCCAACCUGCCCUUCAUAUUGGGAUAGCCUUCCGAAAGGGAGAUUAAUACCGAAUAACAUGAGAAGAUUGUAUGAACCUCUCAUGAAAGCUCCGGCGAUGAAGGAUGGGGAUGCGUUCCAUUAGGUAGUAGGCGGGGUAACGGCCCACCUAGCCAUCGAUGGAUAGGGGUUCUGAGAGGAAGGUCCCCCACACUGGAACUGAGACACGGUCCAGACUCCUACGGGAGGCAGCAGUGAGGAAUAUUGGUCAAUGGGCGUAAGCCUGAACCAGCCAAGUAGCGUGAAGGAUGACUGCCCUACGGGUUGUAAACUGUUGUCGCAAGGGAAGAAAAAAUGACGGUACCUUGUGAGAAAGCCACGGACUAACUACGUGCCAGCAGCCG
This 479-nucleotide ribosomal RNA is filed under the name uncultured bacterium. RNAcentral describes it as "bacterial SSU rRNA". It matches the Rfam family "Bacterial small subunit ribosomal RNA", at positions 28 to 517 of the family's 1533-position model. The record is from RNAcentral.